This 475-nucleotide ribosomal RNA is filed under the name uncultured bacterium. Its description in RNAcentral is "bacterial SSU rRNA". It matches the Rfam family "Bacterial small subunit ribosomal RNA", at positions 26 to 518 of the family's 1533-position model. The record is from RNAcentral.
AGGACGAACGCUGGCGGCGUGCUUAACACAUGCAAGUCGAGCGAUGAAGCUCCUUCGGGAGUGGAUUAGCGGCGGACGGGUGAGUAACACGUGGGUAACCUGCCUCAUAGAGGGGAAUAGCCUUUCGAAAGGAAGAUUAAUACCGCAUAAGAUUGUAGUACCGCAUGGUACAGCAAUUAAAGGAGUAAUCCGCUAUGAGAUGGACCCGCGUCGCAUUAGCUAGUUGGUGAGGUAACGGCUCACCAAGGCGACGAUGCGUAGCCGACCUGAGAGGGUGAUCGGCCACAUUGGGACUGAGACACGGCCCAGACUCCUACGGGAGGCAGCAGUGGGGAAUAUUGCACAAUGGGGGAAACCCUGAUGCAGCAACGCCGCGUGAGUGAUGACGGCCUUCGGGUUGUAAAACUCUGUCUUUGGGGACGAUAAUGACGGUACCCAAGGAGGAAGCCACGGCUAACUACGUGCCAGCAGCCGC